GAGGGUAGAGCUCAGUGGUAGAGCCUGUGCUCAGCAUGCAUGAGGUCAUGGGUUCAAUCCCCAGUACCUCCA
This 72-nucleotide transfer RNA is filed under the name Camelus bactrianus (Bactrian camel). It matches the Rfam family "tRNA". Rfam says of the family: Transfer RNA (tRNA) molecules are approximately 80 nucleotides in length. Their secondary structure includes four short double-helical elements and three loops (D, anti-codon, and T loops). Lineage: Eukaryota; Metazoa; Chordata; Mammalia; Artiodactyla; Camelidae. RNAcentral also lists the same sequence under 2 other names. The record is from Rfam by way of RNAcentral.